This 525-nucleotide ribosomal RNA is filed under the name uncultured beta proteobacterium. RNAcentral describes it as "bacterial SSU rRNA". It matches the Rfam family "Bacterial small subunit ribosomal RNA", at positions 97 to 618 of the family's 1533-position model. The record is from RNAcentral. Lineage: Bacteria; Pseudomonadati; Pseudomonadota; Betaproteobacteria.
GGCNAACGGGUGAGUAAUGCACCGGAACGUAUCCAAUAAUGGGGGAUAACGCACCGAAAAGUGUGCUAAUACCGCAUACGCCCUGAGGGGGAAAGCGGGGGAUCGUAAGACCUCGCGUUAAUGGAGCGGCCGAUGCCGGAUUAGCUAGUUGGUGAGGUAAAGGCUCACCAAGGCGACGAUCCGUAGCUGGUCUGAGAGGACGACCAGCCACACUGGAACUGAGACACGGUCCAGACUCCUACGGGAGGCAGCAGUGGGGAAUUUUGGACAAUGGGCGCAAGCCUGAUCCAGCCAUUCCGCGUGAGUGAAGAAGGCCUUCGGGUUGUAAAGCUCUUUCGCAAGGAAAGAAAACUUACCUCCUAAUACGAGGUGAGGAUGACGGUACCUUGAUAAGAAGCACCGGCUAACUACGUGCCAGCAGCCGCGGUAAUACGUAGGGUGCGAGCGUUAAUCGGAAUUACUGGGCGUAAAGCGUGCGCAGGCGGUUUUGUAAGUCAGAUGUGAAAUCCCCGGGCUCAACCUGGG